This 252-nucleotide long non-coding RNA is filed under the name Elaeis guineensis (African oil palm). RNAcentral describes it as "long non-coding RNA (EGUI_LNC046265)". Lineage: Eukaryota; Viridiplantae; Streptophyta; Magnoliopsida; Arecales; Arecaceae. The record is from RNAcentral.
CUUUGAUUGAAAAUUCUAAUUAACUUGUAUUAAGAAAAAUGAACAUUGAUUGUAUUAUACUUUUGAUCUUUCAUGUCUUUUUGUUCAUUCAAUUUGAUUUGCAUGAUUUGAUUGUCUAAUCAUUUUUGAUAAUCAUUUGAAGUUAAAUUGAAUCUGAAAUCUACUCUUACUCCAAGAAAUAAUUUUGAUACAUACUUCUAAUUUUGAAACUCAUUUGAAAAUCUGAAAAUAAUAUAGAAUAUUUUUUAUGCC